GGGGAAUAUUGGGCAAUGGGCGAAAGCCUGACCCAGCGACGCCGCGUGAGGGAAGAAGGUCUUCGGAUUGUAAACCUUUGUCAACAGGGACGAAACAAAUGACGGUACCUGUGAAGGAAGCCACGGCUAACUACGUGCCAGCAGCCGCGGUAAUACGUAGGUGGCGAGCGUUAUCCGGAAUUACUGGGUGUAAAGGGUGAGUAGGCGGGAAUACAAGUCAGAUGUGAAAUGCAAAGGCUUAACCUUUGAAUUGCAUUUGAAACUGUAUUUCUUGAGAGUCGGAGAGGUAAUCGGAAUUCCUAGUGUAGCGGUGAAAUGCGUAGAUAUUAGGAGGAACACCAGUGGCGAAGGCGGAUUACUGGACGACAACUGACGCUGAGACACGAAAGCGUGGGGAGCAAAC
RNAcentral lists this ribosomal RNA (403 nucleotides) under uncultured bacterium. Its description in RNAcentral is "bacterial SSU rRNA". It matches the Rfam family "Bacterial small subunit ribosomal RNA", at positions 356 to 773 of the family's 1533-position model. The record is from RNAcentral.